UACGAAGGGGGCUAGCGUUGCUCGGAAUCACUGGGCGUAAAGGGUGCGUAGGCGGGUCUUUAAGUCAGGGGUGAAAUCCUGGAGCUCAACUCCAGAACUGCCUUCGAUACUGAGAGUCUUGAGUCCGAGAGAGGCGAGUGGAACUGCGAGUGUAGAGGUGAAAUUCGUAGAUAUUCGCAAGAACACCAGUGGCGAAGGCGGCUCACUGGCUCGGUACUGACGCUGAGGUGCGAAAGCGUGGGGAGCAAACAGG
This 253-nucleotide ribosomal RNA is filed under the name uncultured bacterium. Its description in RNAcentral is "partial 16S ribosomal RNA". It matches the Rfam family "Bacterial small subunit ribosomal RNA", at positions 524 to 776 of the family's 1533-position model. The record is from RNAcentral.